Molecule: non-coding RNA, 31 nt
Filed under: Mus musculus (house mouse)
Lineage: Eukaryota; Metazoa; Chordata; Mammalia; Rodentia; Muridae
Source: RNAcentral
UGAUCAACAGAUUGGGCAGAGCUAUUGUUUA